GUCGAGAAUUUUUCUCAAUGGGGGCAACCCUGAAGGAGCGACGCCGCGUGGGGGAUGAAGGGCUUCGGCUCGUAAACCCCUGUCAUCUGCGAACAAACCUUUUCACCUAACACGUGAAAAGCUGAUAGUAGCGGAAGAGGAAGGGACGGCUAACUCUGUGCCAGCAGCCGCGGUAAUACAGAGGUCCCAAGCGUUGUUCGGAUUCACUGGGCGUAAAGGGUGCGUAGGCGGUGGGGUAAGUCUGAUGUGAAAGCUCGGAGCUCAACUCCGAAAUGGCAUUGGAAACUGCCUUGCUCGAGGGUCGGAGGGGAGACUGGAAUUCUCGGUGUAGCAGUGAAAUGCGUAGAUAUCGAGAGGAACACCAGUGGCGAAAGCGAGUCUCUGGACGACACCUGACGCUGAGGCACGAAAGCUAGGGGAGCAAACAGGAUUAGAUACCCCAGUAGUCC
This 449-nucleotide ribosomal RNA is filed under the name uncultured bacterium. Its description in RNAcentral is "bacterial SSU rRNA". It matches the Rfam family "Bacterial small subunit ribosomal RNA", at positions 354 to 796 of the family's 1533-position model. The record is from RNAcentral.